AGCAGCCGCGGUAAUUCCAGCUCCAAUAGCGUAUAUUAAAGUUGUUGCAGUUAAAAAGCUCGUAGUUGAACUUCGGGGUCUACCCAUUGGUCAGGCUUAAUUGUCUGCACUGGUGAGAUGGAUCUCUACCUUCUGAGGAACUUUCAUGCCAUUUAUUUGGUGUGAUGGGAAAUCAGGACUGUUACUUUGAAAAAUUAGAGUGUUUAAAGCAGACUAUCGUCUGAAUACAUUAGCAAGGAAUAAUGAAAUAGGACAUCCGAUUCUAUUUUGUGGUUUCUAGGAUCGAUGUAAUGAUUAAUAGGGAUAGUUGGGGGCAUUAGUAUUCAAUUGUCAGAGGUGAAAUUCUUGGAUUUAUUGAAGACUAACUACUGCGAAAGCAUUUGCCAAGGAUGUUUUCAUUAAUCAAGAACGAAAGUUAGGGGAUCGAAGACGAUCAGAUACCGUCGUAGUCUUAACCAUAAACUAUGCCGACUAGGGAUCGGAUGAUGUUAAUUUUUAAUGUA
Molecule: ribosomal RNA, 503 nt
Filed under: uncultured Diversisporaceae
Lineage: Eukaryota; Fungi; Glomeromycota; Glomeromycetes; Diversisporales
Description: SSU rRNA
Rfam family: Eukaryotic small subunit ribosomal RNA
Source: RNAcentral